RNAcentral lists this transfer RNA (72 nucleotides) under Pseudosuberites sp. CY-2021. RNAcentral describes it as "tRNA-Gln". It matches the Rfam family "tRNA". Rfam says of the family: Transfer RNA (tRNA) molecules are approximately 80 nucleotides in length. Their secondary structure includes four short double-helical elements and three loops (D, anti-codon, and T loops). Lineage: Eukaryota; Metazoa; Porifera; Demospongiae; Suberitida; Suberitidae. The record is from RNAcentral.
UAAAGGUUAGCCAAAAGGCAAGGCAUUAAGUUUUGAUCUUAACUAAUGCAGGUUCGACUCCUGUACCUUUAU